This 87-nucleotide transfer RNA is filed under the name Medakamo hakoo. RNAcentral describes it as "trnS-UGA". It matches the Rfam family "tRNA". From Rfam's summary of the family: Transfer RNA (tRNA) molecules are approximately 80 nucleotides in length. Their secondary structure includes four short double-helical elements and three loops (D, anti-codon, and T loops). Further hydrogen bonds mediate the characteristic L-shaped molecular structure. tRNAs have two regions of fundamental functional importance: the anti-codon, which is responsible for specific mRNA codon recognition, and the 3' end, to which the tRNAs corresponding amino acid is attached (by aminoacyl-tRNA synthetases). tRNAs cope with the degeneracy of the genetic code in two manners: having more than one tRNA (with a specific anti-codon) for a particular amino acid; and 'wobble' base-pairing, i.e. permitting non-standard base-pairing at the 3rd anti-codon position. The record is from RNAcentral. Lineage: Eukaryota; Viridiplantae; Chlorophyta; Trebouxiophyceae; Coccomyxaceae.
GGAUGAAUGUCUGAGUGGUUGAAAGUACCGGUCUUGAAAACCGGCAUAUCUGAGAAGAUAUCGGGGGUUCGAAUCCUCCUUCAUCCG